This 305-nucleotide ribosomal RNA is filed under the name uncultured bacterium. Its description in RNAcentral is "bacterial SSU rRNA". It matches the Rfam family "Bacterial small subunit ribosomal RNA", at positions 338 to 640 of the family's 1533-position model. The record is from RNAcentral.
CCUACGGGGGGCAGCAGUGAGGAAUAUUGGUCAAUGGGAGAGAUCCUGAACCAGCCAAGCCGCGUGAGGGAAGACGGCCCUAUGGGUUGUAAACCUCUUUUGCCGGGGAGCAGUGGUCCGGACGCGUCCGGACCGGGAGAGUACCCGGAGAAAAAGCAUCGGCUAACUCCGUGCCAGCAGCCGCGGUAAUACGGAGGAUGCGAGCGUUAUCCGGAUUUAUUGGGUUUAAAGGGUGCGUAGGCGGGCAUUUAAGCCGGCGGUCAAAUGUCGGGGCUCAACCCCGGCCUGCCGUCGGAACUGGGUGC